GCAGGGCUGUGAUUCCCGUGAGGACACGCAAAUCCCCGGGGCCUUACCGAUCCCAACGGGAGCUGUUCCUGCCUCGGUCCGUGGACCUUGGCAUACGGCGCCCACCUACGUUAGUAGGUUCCCGGGAUCGCACGAUCCCACGGUCUUACGGCUCUGUC
Molecule: non-coding RNA, 158 nt
Filed under: Rhodobiaceae bacterium
Lineage: Bacteria; Pseudomonadati; Pseudomonadota; Alphaproteobacteria; Hyphomicrobiales; Rhodobiaceae
Description: 6S RNA
Rfam family: 6S / SsrS RNA
About the family: E. coli 6S RNA was the first non coding RNA to be sequenced, but its function was unknown until recently.
Source: RNAcentral